RNAcentral lists this long non-coding RNA (970 nucleotides) under Chinchilla lanigera (long-tailed chinchilla). Its description in RNAcentral is "lncRNA (ENSCLAG00000023884.1)". The record is from RNAcentral. Lineage: Eukaryota; Metazoa; Chordata; Mammalia; Rodentia; Chinchillidae.
ACUUUUGGCAGGCUGAAUCACUUUGAUAUACUUUUCCCAGGGUUCAAAAAGAAAAGAUAAACAAAGAACUUGUGACUUCAGGGGGAGCAAAGGUAGCCAGGAGUUUAUGAGGUAGGUCAUCUUCUUUACAUUUCUGGCAAAGGGGAAGAGAGUGUCAAUGAAAAGCCAUCACCUUGUUAGUGGUUUCUGAGACUGCAGGUUUGGUGCCCAUGGGCAUUUUCUGGGCUGGCUUAGAAAGAUUUGCUGAUGCUUUUUUUCAGGUAAAGCAGAGGGCAACUUCUGUCAGCAAAAGACCAGCAGAUGUUUCCUUAGCAGUCAGCCUUCACUCACCCGUCUGAAUUAGACUAACUUCAAACAAUGUGACUACUUUGGGAGAGCAUGCUCCUCUGGAGGUUUGCCAAGAGUUUGAGAUUUUAUGAAGACACAGAACACUGCCUAGCCUAAUGGGAAUGUGGUAAUAUCUGUCCCUGUAGAGAAAGAGUGGAAGAAAAGAGACUUUAUUUCUAGUCCUUGCACCAUGUGAGCCAGACCAGAGAUGCCAUCUACCCCAGACUGACCGUGCUUAGCUGCAUCCUGAAAGGUCCACUAUGGCCCUUGCUCGGUCCACCAGUCCUUACAAACAAAGAAUCAGCUGGGAUGACACCAGGAGCCUCAUCAGCAAUGGAGACAGCACCCGGAUGCCGCUCGAGGUCUCUCCACUAGGACUGAGCCCGAUCUCUAAGAAAAACAAGAAGGGCAGGUAGAAGACAACCAUGAACAGCACACACCUAAAACAGCCCCUCCUCCUUCAUCCGAGCCUUUGUUUCUCAACCUUUCUCUGCCUUGGGUGACUCACUCUUUCUUGGGAGGCCUCUUGGACUUCGGUCAAAUGGACCCCAGGCAAGCACGUGACAUGCUUCUAAGGUACAUGGGAAUCUCAGAGAGCAUACACUUUGAACUCAAGCUGUUGCCCUUGCUGUAGUCACAAGCU